AGUGAACGCUGGCGAUAGGCCUAACACAUGCAAGUCGAACGGCAGCACAGUAAGAGCUUGCUCUUACGGGUGGCGAGUGGCGGACGGGUGAGGAAUACAUCGGAAUCUACUUUUUCGUGGGGGAUAACGUAGGGAAACUUACGCUAAUACCGCAUACGACUUACGGGUGAAAGCAGGGGAUCUUCGGACCUUGCGCGAUUGAAUGAGCCGAUGUCGGAUUAGCUAGUUGGCGGGGUAAAGGCCCACCAAGGCGACGAUCCGUAGCUGGUCUGAGAGGAUGAUCAGCCACACUGGAACUGAGACACGGUCCAGACUCCUACGGGAGGCAGCAGUGGGGAAUAUUGGACAAUGGGCGCAAGCCUGAUCCAGCCAUACCGCGUGGGUGAAGAAGGCCUUCGGGUUGUAAAGCCCUUUUGUUGGGAAAGAAAAGCAGCAGGUUAAUACCCCGCUGUUCUGACGGUACCCAAAGAAUAAGCACCGGCUAACUUCGUG
This 492-nucleotide ribosomal RNA is filed under the name uncultured bacterium. RNAcentral's name for it is "partial 16S ribosomal RNA". It matches the Rfam family "Bacterial small subunit ribosomal RNA", at positions 29 to 507 of the family's 1533-position model. The record is from RNAcentral.